ACUUAAAUAUUUUAAAUUAAAAUAAUGUAUUGUGGUUUCAUUGAUGUGUUUUUCACUUUAAGUU
RNAcentral lists this transfer RNA (64 nucleotides) under Paramastax nigra. RNAcentral's name for it is "tRNA-His". Lineage: Eukaryota; Metazoa; Arthropoda; Insecta; Orthoptera; Eumastacidae. The record is from RNAcentral.